UAGUGGCGAACGGGUGAGUAACACGUGGGCAAUCUGCCCUGCACUCUGGGACAAGCCCUGGAAACGGGGUCUAAUACCGGAUACGAGUUUCACAGGCAUCUGUGAUUCUGGAAAGCUCCGGCGGUGCAGGAUGAGCCCGCGGCCUAUCAGCUUGUUGGUGAGGUAACGGCUCACCAAGGCGACGACGGGUAGCCGGCCUGAGAGGGCGACCGGCCACACUGGGACUGAGACACGGCCCAGACUCCUACGGGAGGCAGCAGUGGGGAAUAUUGCACAAUGGGCGAAAGCCUGAUGCAGCGACGCCGCGUGAGGGAUGACGGCCUUCGGGUUGUAAACCUCUUUCAGCAGGGAAGAAGCGAGAGUGACGGUACCUGCAGAAGAAGCGCCGGCUAACUACGUGCCAGCAGCCGCGGUAAUACGUAGGGCGCAAGCGUUGUCCGGAAUUAUUGGGCGUAAAGAGCUCGUAGGCGGCUUGUCGCGUCGGUUGUGAAAGCCCGGGGCUUAACCCCGGGUCUGCAGUCGAUACGGGCAGGCUAGAGUUCGGUAGGGGAGAUCGGAAUUCCU
Molecule: ribosomal RNA, 564 nt
Filed under: Streptomyces sp. 387D05
Lineage: Bacteria; Bacillati; Actinomycetota; Actinomycetes; Kitasatosporales; Streptomycetaceae
Also listed under: 20 other names
Description: bacterial SSU rRNA
Rfam family: Bacterial small subunit ribosomal RNA
Source: RNAcentral